GACGUAGGGCGCGAGCGUUGUCCGGAUUUAUUGGGCGUAAAGAGCUCGUAGGCGGCUUGUCGCGUCGAUCGUGAAAACUUGUGGCUCAACUACAAGCUGGCGGUCGAUACGGGCGGACUGGAGUACUGCAGGGGAGACUGGAAUUCCUGGUGUAGCGGUGAAAUGCGCAGAUAUCAGGAGGAACACCGGUGGCGAAGGCGGGUCUCUGGGCAGUAACUGACGCUGAGGAGCGAAAGCGUGGGGAGCGAACAGG
This 253-nucleotide ribosomal RNA is filed under the name uncultured bacterium. RNAcentral's name for it is "partial 16S ribosomal RNA". It matches the Rfam family "Bacterial small subunit ribosomal RNA", at positions 524 to 776 of the family's 1533-position model. The record is from RNAcentral.